ACGUAGGGGGCAAGCGUUAUCCGGAUUUACUGGGUGUAAAGGGAGCGUAGACGGCGAGGCAAGUCUGAUGUGAAAACCCGGGGCUCAACCCCGUGACUGCAUUGGAAACUGUUUUGCUUGAGUGCCGGAGAGGUAAGCGGAAUUCCUAGUGUAGCGGUGAAAUGCGUAGAUAUUAGGAGGAACACCAGUGGCGAAGGCGGCUUGCUGGACGGCAACUGACGUUGAGGCUCGAAAGCGUGGGGAGCAAACAG
This 251-nucleotide ribosomal RNA is filed under the name uncultured bacterium. Its description in RNAcentral is "partial 16S ribosomal RNA". It matches the Rfam family "Bacterial small subunit ribosomal RNA", at positions 525 to 775 of the family's 1533-position model. The record is from RNAcentral.